GCCAUGUUGUGAGAGGGCCAGCUGGUAAGAAACUGCAGGUAGCUCAGGGUUGCCCCAAAGGACAAUCAGCAAGAAAACCAGAACUCAGUCCUACAACCACAAGGAGGUAAAAUCUGCCACCAACCACUUGAGCUGCCAACAACUACAUAGCUCAACAAAACUGAGCUCAACAAAAGAAACCAGCCCUAGCUGAUACCUUGGUAACAGCUUUGUGAGACCCUGAGCAGGGUACCCAGCGAAGCUGUAUCUGGACUCCUGACCCACAGAAACUAUUGACAACUCUGAUUAUACAUCGUCUUCACUAAACGGACCUUUGCUGAGUUUUGUAUUGUGUUCAUCCCCACCCCACACUCUGCUGUUGCCAUGGGAGCCGAAAUCCUGGCAUGGUUAGCUCCGCCCCCAAGUGGCUCUGUCUCCCAGAGUGCUUUGCUGUUACUAUGGAAAUGCCUGCCUAUUAAUCUUGCUGUCCUUUUACUACCAAAGCACCUUUAACUGUCUCAAGCAAUCAAGUGAUGUUACCUACAGCAGGGAAAGGAAGGAGAAGACGGCCUCCCAUUCUCCAGCUGAAGCGCUGAUUUUAAUCAAGAUUUAAUCAAGGAGCAGAAGAAUGGACUCCCCCAAACUGCUCACCGUGCAGACUUGAUCUAAGCAUGGACACUGUUCUCUCCGAUUGCCUUAAAGAUGCAGCUAAGACCAGUCAGUGGUGUUGGCCAAAGAUAUAGUGGAAGUUUGGCAUGUAUAGAAGUGGGUACUGAGAAUGAUCUACUCUUCCACUGUGGUUGUCACUCCAAGAGCUCACAAACCCUAAAGCCAACUCCAGAGUCCCUGCCUUACUCUCAGGGCCUAAGUCACUCCCAGUGUUCCUCCGCACCAGUCUACUCUCCCUUGGAAAUGCACAACGUGUCUCAAAUGUUUUCCUACCAGUGAAGGAAUGUAUUUUCUGAAGAAGACCCAAAAGGAAAAUGUUCAUGGGUAUAGCUCAUCUAGAGAAACAUUGACCAGUUUCAGCAGAAAAGAUAGCACAGAAAGAAGAUGGCAUCUGACUUCAACAUUUAGCUGACGUUUGACAACGGAUGAAGACACCACUGAUUAGCACGGCAUCAAUUUACAUCUGUUCCCAUGAUCAUGAUGAGGGCAUUGUCCUCCUCUUAGACGGAGUCCAGUGUGUGAAGGGAAUGUGUCCUUCCCCCACCUCGACCUGCCUCAACGCUUUCAAUGCUGCUAUUUGUAUCCAUUUUAUAAUAGAACAUUCUGGUUUCAUUAAUGGACAAACCCAGAGCCAGACCAUGGCUUGCACUAGAUUGAGCUAGACUGGAGCAAAAUCUGAAGAGCAAUCUUAGGGGACUAGAUGUCAAGCGCCUCUGGUCCCCGGGUUCAGCUCCCCACUGAAUGUGACGGAGGAAAGUCGACUUCUUUGUGUCUGUCUCAGUUUUCCCAGCUGUUAAAUAGGCACAAUAUCUGCUCCCUCCACAUCAUAGGAGUGUCUUGAGAAUCAAAUCAUAUUCCAGUAUUUUGUUAACUGUUAUUGCUAUGUCCAUGAGAGACAAUGGGAGGUCUUUUAGUAAACCCAAAACGCAUCCAGAGAAUCAUAUAACUUAUAAGGAUCUAUAUUUUGGGGUUUGUCAUUUUAUCAUCCAACAAAUAUUUCCUGAGGUCCUAUUCAAUGCAAGGCACAAUCCUCAGGGCUGUGGGAAAAAAUAUGAUGCCUGCCCUGGAGGGGUUAUAAACAAAGUGAGCGAGAAGGCACGCCCAUAUAAAAAGAUGACUGGAGACAGAGCCCAUAUCUAAAUACCAAAUGGGAGAUGGUAUUAUAACCCAGGGAUUGGGGGUGCAGGCAUGGGCAUCACAUUUUCUGGGUCUGAAGCCCGGCUCUGUCACUGACUAACCAUGUGUCCUUGGGCAAGUUACUUAACCUCUCUAUGCCUCAGUUUCCUCAUCUGUGAAAUGGGGAUAAGAAUAGCACCUACCUUAUAAGCUUAUUGUGAGGAAUAAAUGUAUUACUAUAUCAAUAAUUCUCAGAACAGUGCCUGGCACAUACAUAGGACACACUUAAUGAAUGUUUGCUGAACAUAAAGAUACCUUGUGGUACAACAACCAAGAGGGAGAGAGAGCACUAAAGAUUACGGUCAAGUGGCUCUGGUGUCCUGAUCUGGGGGUGGAAGGUUGGGAAGGGCCAGCGGAGGUGGAGUGAAGGGAUGAGGGAUUAGACAGGAGAGGAUUCCAGACAGGUCAAACGGCCUGCACAAAGGCUCACAGCCAGGUUCGCAUGAGGCACAUUUGGGGUAGAAUGAAGAGAAGGGUCAGAGUUUCCUAGUGGAAACAGUGGGGGCAGGGCGGGGGUGGGGGCGCUGUAAGUAGGGAUCUAGGUGGGAUAGCUCAUCUCCGCCUGCAUCUCCGGGGCCAAAAGCUGGAGUGAGUAAAGGGGCCGUAUUUCAAAGCUGCCAGCAAAGUCUCUUUCUCUACAGACAAUGGCUUGAAUGUACCUUUGAAAGUGUAUUGCUUUUGAGUUUUGGAGGGAGAAACAGAGCACUUUAAUGAGCUUUUGGUCCUACAAAGAUAAAUCUAAAUACACCAUUUCUGAAAGUGUUCCUUCACAAUGACAUGCUAAACUGCUUUGCACGAUAACCUUAAGGCCAUCCCAUCAGGCUUGCACGAAAUUCCCAGGAUUCUACCCACAGACACCUAGAGAGGAACGGGGAGAGAAAAGGACACAGGGAGAGAGAGAAAAACUAGCUAGAAAGCGUGGACACUUCUGCCUCAGGAGCAGGUAGGAACUGCGAUUCGCCUUUUCUCUCCACGGUUUUCAGCCCCUGUGCCUUAAGCAGUAUGAGCAUCUCACCACGGAAAAUGGGAUUCUGAAGUUAAAAUAAACCUUAAACCCAGACCAGCUACUUCCUCUGGUGUUCUGCUGAGGAAAUCGUGGCCUCUACUAGGCUUACAGAGAAAAGUGCGUCCACCUACAAUGCGGCUCUCCUCUAGUGGUCUCCAAAGUUAAUUUCUUACACAAAUUCUGCCUUACACAGUAACUUUAGAACUUAAUCCCCAGGAAAGAUUCGGCUCUACUGUACAGAAGAUUGUUUUUAUUGUGGGUAGAAUUUAUCACAACAGAUUACGUUUCUGUGGGAGGGGCUAGUGGAGACCAGGUAUGAGGAGGAAUGUGGAUCCUCUUCAGCCAUGUCUUUUGGGGGCUCAUAUGUGUGGCCUGAACUUCAGAGAGGGGAGACAGCAGAGGUCUGUCUUUGUGAAGGGAGAUAAUCAGGCCCUUGAAAAAAGAUGGCAGGCCAAGAACUGAGGAGAGACCCAGUGUGUUAUCCUGUGGGAGGCCUUGGUCUCUGGACUGCAGAAGAAUUCAUAUCUAGCAUUCAAAGCUAAGGGGUGGGGGAGUCUGUAUUAUAAUUUCUUCUUCUAACCCUUACUUUUCAAUGGAGUAUUUGUUUUUAAUCAUGAGGCAUGAUCUAGGCUAUGCUCUGGGCCAAGUGGUAAAGAGUAUCAGAAACAGAGAUGGAGCAGGAGCUUCCGGAAGCCAAAGUCAAGAAGAUUGGAGCAUCCGUGAGGAACAGAACAGCUGACUGGGUCUCUGGUGCGGUAGCCCAUGGUUAGAAAUCUCACCGCCGAAAAUAUUCUGCCUCAGUUAACACUUGUCCUCUGCGAGCAAACAUUAAAUGGAAGUCACUGUACAUUAUCCCUGAGCAAAGCAAUGAGGAAAGUCCCCUCAGAGGCGGCAGGACUGGGCUCUGAGUAAGGGUGUUCCCUUUCCAACGGGCUGCCUUUCAGGACCACCCAGAGCCUGCCUUGUCAUCCCACAGCACCCCAGAAGGUCCCCUCUCACUGCAUUGGCCACUCGUUACUGUAACCGCCAUUUUAUUCCUGGAAAGGAAGAACCAAAGUGAGGGACGCUGUGAACAACAGACAGGCCUUGGUUGCUGAUGGGGUGACUGCAGAGAAACCGUCUUCUGCUCUUUGCUUCGCUGUUUUGCCUCCUUAUCUAGCCCCUCUCACUCCAUCUCAGUGAAAUCCGUCGUGAUCUCCUAGCUCAGAUUUCACAAGUCAACAAAAAAUUAGAACUACUUUAACGACAUUGGUUCUACCGUGCCAGGCCAUGGGCUAGAAGUUACAAGAGUAUGCAGUCUCUACUUGCUUUUUAUUGCAGAACAGCACAUUCCUGGAGCCCAUGUCAUAAAGCGGAUCACUGAAAAGCAAAUUACAUUUUCCCACAGGAACAAUGUUGUAAUUAGAGGCUGUAUUCCUGACAAAGGACUUGGCUUCAUGUAAAUAGUAGACAUGAACAAAAAUAUUUCACAAAAGCAAACAUUUGAGAACUAUAAAUCCUUAUAAUUGUUUAAAAUAAUAAAAUUUUCUUCAAGUAUUAUAAACCAGGCGGGAUUAGAGCGAGUACACACUGAUUAUUCGGGGACUCCAAUGUACCAUAAAGUGUACAUUAAAAUAUAACUACUGUGUCAUAAAUUAGAACCUGAAACUAACUUUAAUAUAGUCAUUACAUACUUAAUUAACAAUGGGAAGGCAGAGAAGUACCAUGAUCACGUGCAGCAUUGGGCGUUAGGAGAGCUAAACUACAGGCUCGCCCUCUAGACUGUGAGCUCUAUGAGGCUAGAGGCUGGGCCUGCCCGGAGUAGGUCAAAAUCAUAUUUACAAUGAACAGCCCAGCCCUGGGUUGUCACUUUGAGUAAGCAAAUCACUUUCUCUAGUUUCUGUCUCUUCAUAUGUAAAACAAGGAAGCUCAACUGUAAAGUCUCUAAGGUCCCCAGCAGCUCCAACAUUCUGGGACUGCCACUUUGGUCUCUUAGAAUUCAAAAGAGUUUCUGGGUGUAGUCAGCUGUGACUUCAGUGAACCUCAGUAUGACCCUCCAGUAUUUAUACACUCCUGUAGUCGCCAACCACAUUCUGGGCUUGGCCAUGUGAAUGGCUCUGGCUAGUGGGACUUUAGCAAGCCAGAUACAACAGAGGCUUAGUAAGCACUUGCAAACUGGGGCUUGUUCCCUUGGAAUAUUCCCUCUUGGAAUCCAGGUACCAUGCUGUGAGGAGCCCAAGACCCACGGAGAGGCCACGUGGAGGGAAACCAGGGCAUUCUGGUGGACUGUCCCACUGAGCUCCCAACCAACUGCCAGCACCCACUGCUAGUCAUGAGUAAGCAUCUUGGACAUUACAGCCCAGUUGAGCCCCCAGAUGACAGCAGCCCCAGCUGAUACCACGUGGAGCAAAAGAACCUCCCAACUGAGCCCAGGCAACCCAUAAAGUUGUGAAAGAUAAUACAACAAUUGCUGUUUUGAGGCACCAAGUUUUGGGGUGGUUCAUGGUGCAGCCAUAGCUAAUUGAAACUCUAGCACAUGGCUUAAAUGGCUCUGGACAUUGGUAAAAACAAACCAUCCAAAGAAGAUUGAAUAAUGUCUAUGUUUCUCCAUAUGAAUUUUCCUCUCCUGAGAAACAUUUAAAAUAUUCCAAUUAUCUUAAAAUAGACUCAAAAUACUGUAGUAGUGUUCAAUAAAUAUUUGUAGUAGAUAAAGAUGUUUCCUCUUCCUGAAAAAUAUUCUUCCUCUUUACCUUCUCUUGAGAAGGUAGAGUUGUUCAAAUGCAUAAUCAAAUAAAGGUCACAAGGAAAUGAUAUGUGCUGCUCAGUCAUUCUACUUGACACUUUGUUGAUAGCUCUUAGAACAUUCCCUCACUACCGAUAAUCCAUAAAAACAAUUAUCAAGCAAAGCAAUGACUUUAAAAUAAGACUGUAGCAAGGUCUCUGGUAAGGCAGAACUUUACUUUUUCUUGAUAAAGAAACUGUUGACAUUCAGGCUGGCAGAAGUAGGCAAAUUUGGAUGAGACAUAGGUUUUCUUAAAGUAAAAGGAUGAGACACUCCAACCAUUCUCUGGGAAAUUCAAAAUUAUUGAAACCUCUCAGGGGUGCCCCGAUCAAGGGUCAAUGACAAAGUCAAGGAGACUACCACAAUAAAAUCAGCAUGGUGACCAGAAAGAGACUGAGUCUGGGGACCUUCCCCGUAUGAAGUCAGGUGGUCAAAGAGGUAGUGGUUCUAAACCUAUCUUGUACUCUGGGGAAUUGGCUGUGUGGGUGAAAAGAAAGCCUGUCAAGUUGGGCCACCUGCUCAACUUUGAUGUGAGGUUCCUCUGGCCAGUCAUUGAUGAGGAGUGGAGGAUGGUCUUUCCUCACACUUUGAAGAACCAGCCUGGGAGAGGGCCUGCACUGGUGCUUGGGCCAUCAGCCACUUAGCUCAGAUGCUGUCAUAAUGUCAUCCCAGGAACGAUGGGUCAGGAGGCCUUCUGACUUCCCAGGUUUUGCUGUGUCACCAGGUCUGCAAUUUGGUGAUGCCUUAACCCAAGCAGAGACAAGUUUCUGGUGGCAGUGACAACAUGCUCUCACUCUUACAGGGUAUGCCUGCCUGAACUCCAGCUCUAGCAGCAAGAUAGACCCUCAGGACACCAAGCCUCCUAAAGAUCAUCCCAGAAGGAUGGAACCAGGGAAGCCAGACAUUUAGCCUCAAGCCAUUUAAUUGGAAUCGUAAAAAGAGACACAGUUUUAUAUCACACCUCUAAGCUGGUAAAGUAGGUUGUGUCCAUUUGGGGCACUACGAACCUUCUCUCAGAUUAUUUAAGAUGGGUAUGAGAAGCACGUAAUCUUUAGGGAAUGCCAGGCACUGUUUCAGAUUCUUACACAUGUCAUUCAUUGAAGUCUCCCAUGUAAUUAUGAGGUAGGUAUUUCCGAGAGGGAACUGAGGCACAAGGAAGUAACAUAACUUUCUCCAGCUUUGACAACCAUUAAGUGGUGAGGCCAGAAUUCGGCCCCAGCCAUGCUCUGAACUUCUCAAUCACUUGCUCUCUUCCUGACACCCCAAAGCUGGCAGCCUUGCUCCCCUGAGCGUUCGAGGGCAUUUCAUGAAGGAAGCCCUCAACAGAGCUGGAGGUGAGAGAGAACAGCACGCUGUCUGCUCCGCAGCACUUCUCUCCGGGACCAGCUUUCUCUGUAUCUUCCACUGUAAUUUAGUUAAUAUACUUAAUAAUCUCACCAAAUGAGGCUAAAUCUGUUUUUGGCACCUAACCAAACCUAAGACUGUAAACCACCUGUCAACACCCUCACUGGAGCUUGUCUGGAUGCCCACAGGAGAGGAAAUCCGGGCUUAGGAGUGUGGCCCUGCUGCGCAGACAGAGCUCAGAACGCCAACUCUCCCGUUCCUCCUGGCCUGGCUCGUUCUGCCUAGAACUCUGAAAUACAGCUCCCUACCCGCUUUGGGCUCUGCGUGUAUAUUGCUAUUAUCAGUUACCAGCAGUAUUUGAUGUCGCUACAGCACCUCAUAUUUGCAAGUCCCCUCCUUCGGGUGUUUGUGCACGGCUGGUCUUCACAGCCACAGCUCUGCACUGACACCACCCGCCCAGAAUUAUUCUUAGGGGGUAAAUGAUUUGCUUACGGCAAUUGCAGAGGGAUGUGCUGGAGAAUGCAAGAUGAGAGACAGGAGACGAAGGACGCCACGGCCUAGCUGUUUAGGGGAGUCCAGUGAAAAGAGCAGAGAACUGGCAGCUUGAUUUUACUUGUUUCCAUUUAUGAUCAUAAAAGUAUUAUUAUUAAUGAGGCUGUUUUACAUUUUACAGCUCCUUUUCAGCUGGAGAGAUUCCCAAAAGGUUUUGCGAACUCUGCUUGCGGCUUCACUGUGAUCGUGUGGCCAUUGCUUGUUCUUGCCUCUCGAGGAGCCUCUUACUCACACAGAGGCAGGGACAGUAGCAAUAAUCAGUAGAUAAAGCCACAAGUUAGACACUAAAGUUUUGCCCCCAACCCUGCCUAGUGUUAAAAAGGGGCUCCUCUUUGCCCCCACGAUCCAUUCCAUUUUCCAGGCAGGAAAAGGUGGUGGCAGCUCAGCAUCCAUUGGUGAGGGCUGAGUUCCCGCCCACUUGUACCACCGGGGACAAUUAGAGCAAAAUGAGACCGCAAACAUCAAUAGGGGAAAGGCUGCAACAAACUUCAGCUAGAAAUCUGAAGAUGUGCUCCUCUUUGUAACAGUGAAAUAUAGAUUUUAAUGCCCUAAAGACACUAAAACUGUAAUGCCAACUCUAAGCGUGUGAAACACAAAAGAAACACGGGGUAAGGUCCUAAAGUAUUCGAUUUAGAGGAAAUGAGCAGAAAGUUGAAAUAGAAAAGCACAGACAUGUGUGGUGUGAAAGCAGAAAAGUCUCGAGGCUAAUAGCCGCAUUAACAACUCUGAGCCAGCGUCAAAUUCUGAAGUCCCCGGGCCCCACGCCCCAGAAGCCCAAGUAGCUUGCUGAGUGUGCUGUCUUCGGGGCCUGCUUCCCAUUUGUUAUUAAGCCCAGCUCUCUGUGGACCCAGAAUCCAUUUCUUAAGAAUCAUGAUCAUCUGCUUGAAUUAGAAGGAGAUUGUUACUUACCUUGAAAUUCUAAAUGCUGUAUUUGGUACUAGCUUUUGUCAGCUGCCAGAGGAAAAGUUCAAUUAAAACGAGUUUCUUUAUCCUUUCCUCCCUCUUAAAAAAAAACCAGGGGGUUAGAUUCUAUAGUUUACUUGUACAGUACUUUAUUCUUAAUUAUUUUAAUUAUUUAACAAAUACAUGUAUAGCACUUCCCAUGUGCCAGACACUGUUCUGAGUGCUUAACAAUAUCACUCAUUCAAUUGUCAUAACAACCCUAAGAGAUAGGCAUUAAUAUUUUACAGAAGAAGAAAUUUACAGAUGAGGAAACUGAGGCACAGAGAGGUUAAGUAACUUGCCUGAGGUCACACUGCUAACGAGCAGCAAAGCCAAGAUUCAAACUCAGGGAGUCUGGCUCAAGUCCCUAUUUUUACUACUAUGUUACGCUGCUUCCCUUACAUAAAUUAUGCUCACAAAUGUGGAGAGGCAGUUUUUAGCGGAACAUAAGGAAAAUAUUAUGAAAGCAAAAGACAAUGACAACUUACAAUUCAGGAAAAUGCGUGUGCCUGGACAUAUUUUUACAGGUUGCUUCCAUUAAAAUCUUAUUUUUAAAAUCAUUAUCUAAUUAACCUUAAAUUCUAAGACAUUUUUCUCUUCCAGGAAGGAGCCACACAUCCAUUGGUGGGGCUUCAUUUUUGUCUUCAUCUGCUUUAUAACUUCAAAGACGGGAGGGUGGGUGGAGGUGGGAAGGGUUUGGCCUACACAGGAGGACGGAGCACAGUGAUCAGCACUUGGGUUCAAAUCCCGGCUUUGCCGCUAUUUGUAUGACUUUGAGUAAAGUCCUUAAUCUUUCUGUGCCUCAGUUGCCUGAUCUAUAAAACGGGAAUGAUAAUAUUACCUACUCAGAGGUGGUUGUAAGAUUAAUUGAGCUAAUACACAUAAGGUGCUCGCCGCGCGUGGCCCACAGCGAGCGCUGCGUGAAAGUAGGGAAAUUGGGCGGCGGGACAGAAUGAGAAUGAGACCGCAGACCGCAGACUGAUAGGGCCAGUCUCUGCUUCCUGUUAGUUCUCUGGGGGGACUCGUGUCUGUCACCCCCAUCAAGGAGGGCAGCGGGCAGGCCUGCCCAACUUUGAGAGGUGACCCUGCAGUUUAAUUUCGGAAGCCGCCACCCCUCGCCUCGGGGACCCGACUCAGGCAGGCCAGCCCCAGCCCCAGCCCCAGCCCCAGCUCCAGCCCCAGCCGUGCCCUGGGCAUCGUGCACACUCAGUGCACACACGCUCCCCACGGGCCACCAGAGACAGGGCCGCGGCUUCAGCGGCCGGGCGUCCUGAGGGCACCCUGGCUCGGCGUGACAAGCGGCAGGGACAGACGGCCAGCGGGACCGGGUACCAGGAGGGGGCCACCCACGCUCUGCGCAUCCCUGCGGCCCGCGGCGCACCCUGCCCUUCGCGGAGCGGGGAGUCCCGCGAAGGCCUGGGCGCUGCUGCGACUCCUUCUGGUGGUCUUCUCUCCCCCGUUGCUUUGAAUUACCUGGGUCACGUCCGCUGGCUGAAGACAGUCGUGGAGUGAGACAGGGGACGCCCGUCCUCACCCCGCUGCUCUAUCACACGGCCCAGAAAACCCGUCGGCAAAAGGGAGAGUGUUUUAUUUUUCAGACUGUUGUAAACCUUUUUACACACAGACACGCACUCACACACACAGUGAUCUCCUUUUACAAAAAGACAAAACGGAGGGGACAGAUGGGGCGGACCAUAUUGUUUACAGUUUUCUUCACCUUAUUUUUUUCACUUAAAAUAUAUCUGGGGGCAGGC
Molecule: long non-coding RNA, 10183 nt
Organism: Equus caballus (horse)
Lineage: Eukaryota; Metazoa; Chordata; Mammalia; Perissodactyla; Equidae
Source: Ensembl